ACAAUGGCCACUCAACUCUUCCUCUUC
This 27-nucleotide non-coding RNA is filed under the name Homo sapiens (human). The record is from RNAcentral. Lineage: Eukaryota; Metazoa; Chordata; Mammalia; Primates; Hominidae.